AGCUCCAAUAGCGUAUAUUAAAGUUGCUGCAGUUAAAAAGCUCGUAGUUGCAUUUCCGAGGCAAGGGAUUAGUCCGACCUUUGGUGGGUAUUUAAUCCUCUUGCCUCGUCCUUGAGUGGUGCUUCUUGGUAUUAAGUUAUCGAGGAGAUAGCCGCUCAUCGUUUACUGUGAGAAAAUUAGAGUGUUCAAAGCAGGCUUAUGCCGUUGAAUAUAUUAGCAUGGAAUAAUAAGAUAGGGCCUCGGUACUAUUUGGUUGGUUUGAGAACCAAGGUAAUGAUGAAUAGGGACAGUUGGGGGUAUUCGUAUUCAGUUGUCAGAGGUGAAAUUCUUAGAUUUACGGAAGACGAACUACUGCGAAAGCAUUUACCAAGGAUGUUUUCA
RNAcentral lists this ribosomal RNA (381 nucleotides) under uncultured marine Chaetocerotaceae. RNAcentral's name for it is "SSU rRNA". It matches the Rfam family "Eukaryotic small subunit ribosomal RNA", at positions 587 to 972 of the family's 1831-position model. Lineage: Eukaryota; Bacillariophyta; Thalassiosirophyceae; Chaetocerotales; Chaetocerotaceae. The record is from RNAcentral.